Molecule: transfer RNA, 93 nt
Filed under: Caballeronia catudaia
Lineage: Bacteria; Pseudomonadati; Pseudomonadota; Betaproteobacteria; Burkholderiales; Burkholderiaceae
Description: Burkholderia catudaia tRNA-???(gg); tRNA-???(gg)
Source: RNAcentral
AAUCCGCGUGCGUGACUGGAAAAUGGUAUUGCUGGAGCAGCGUGCCAAGCAGUUGGCGUGCUGGGCGGAGCCGUUCAUCCGGCUGCGGAUUCC